RNAcentral lists this ribosomal RNA (465 nucleotides) under uncultured bacterium. RNAcentral describes it as "partial 16S ribosomal RNA". It matches the Rfam family "Bacterial small subunit ribosomal RNA", at positions 28 to 504 of the family's 1533-position model. The record is from RNAcentral.
GACGAACGCUGGCGGCGUGCUUAACACAUGCAAGUCGAACGGAAAGGCCCUGCUUUUGUGGGGUGCUCGAGUGGCGAACGGGUGAGUAACACGUGAGUAACCUGCCCUUGACUUUGGGAUAACUUCAGGAAACUGGGGCUAAUACCGGAUAGGAGCUCCUGCUGCAUGGUGGGGGUUGGAAAGUUUCGGCGGUUGGGGAUGGACUCGCGGCUUAUCAGCUUGUUGGUGGGGUAGUGGCUUACCAAGGCUUUGACGGGUAGCCGGCCUGAGAGGGUGACCGGGCAGGGGGGGACCGGGAGGCGGCAGGGGGGCAUACGGGGGGCAGCGGGGGGGAGUGUGGGACCAUGGGCGGGGGCGUGAUGCAGGAAUGCGGCGUGGAAGAUGCGGGCCUUCGGGAAGAAAACAGGGUUCGGCUGUGGAGAAGCGCGAGAGACGGUAAAGGGAAAAGAAGCCCCGGAUAACUAC